Molecule: non-coding RNA, 46 nt
Organism: Trichobilharzia regenti
Lineage: Eukaryota; Metazoa; Platyhelminthes; Trematoda; Strigeidida; Schistosomatidae
Source: Rfam
GUACUGUUGAAGAGUCCCAGACUAGGACGAGACAACUGUCCAGUAC